UAUUGGCAACAGGAGAUGUUCGUGGAUUUUGAUGAUAUGGAUUUUAGAUGACUUCGAGACAUGUACAGGUAAGGUUUUCUCCCGUCUCAUAAAGUAGUCGAUCGUUUAUGAAUAAUAUGAGUUUUUAUUUUCAAAUCGAUACUGGACACUGUAUGUCCUAUUAAACCAGUUUGACGUUCAAAUCAUUUAAUCGAAAUCUGCAGCUUUAUAAAGUUAGUUUUCAUUGUGAUAUUCGUUUGAAAUUCGCCUGUGGUGGAAAGAGGUCAUGUAAAAGUCGCGCAUUUACCAUGUUUUUACCAUAGUAACAUGUCGCUGAACCAUGUCACGUGUUAUAAAACCUCAGUAACCACAACUCAAUGUAUCUCCCGUCAUAACUGUAGUUUUACUUUGGUAUUUGUAGUAUAAACACGUUACCAUGCUUUUCACCACAGUAACUGUGCUUAUUGUGUACUCUUUAGUUAAGUAACACAUUUGCCAUGCCUUUAAUACCUUUUUGUAAUGUAAUUGUGAUUCAGUGUUUUUUUUCUUUUCAGUUUUGCAGUUUCUUCAUAUCACAUACAUCUCCAGCUUCUACAACAACAUUCAGUGUCCAGCAGCUCUUUAUGAUGCUCUCUCUCUCUCUCUCUCUCUCUCUUUCUCUCUCACUCUCUCUCUCUCUCUCUCUCUCUCUCAUUUUCCUUUCCUAUUUUUCUGAACUGUAAUUCAUAAAUAAGUCACACAUAUUUUUCUUUCUUUCUCUUGUUCAUCAUGGCAUAUUUUCACAGCUCAGAAUCAGAUUUUGAUCAGUUCUUGUAUUAACAGGGAACUUGUACUCGAAGCUCAACUUGAAGAAGUUUCCAGUGAAGAUGAAGUCCUUCAAAGGUUCGACACAGCUGAAAAGGAAGACCAUGGGCCUGUCAAACCUUGUUUGUGGAGAGGGAUGAAUUUGACCAUCUUGUGUGUUUACGGAGAAGACCAAAAGCUGCUAAGGCAGAUAUUUCCAGAGGUACAAACAGAGCGGAUGGUUGCAUGAUGGCCUCUUUCAGGUUUGUCAACUGAAUGUCUACUAGUGUGGCUCAGCAAGUUCCUGUCAUGAUCAGCCCUCUCCAAGAAAGCUGAAGAGCAAAAACACAAAGAACAUCAGUCCUGUUGGGGAUGAGGAAUGAACAUGGCUCUAUUGUGCCCAAACAGAAAAGAGUGAAAAGUCCUAGAAUGAACAAAUCAUCAGGGCAUCAUUUCUGGAAUUUGGGCAGAAAAUGACUGAAUAUGAAAGACUGCAGUAGAAGGAAAGCUGGUACUGAGAACAUUUGUCUUCACUCCAGACUAAAGAGAAGCGGGUCUGAGGCCAGAGAUGGAGGAGUCAAUGGUCACCAAAUGCAGCGCUGCAGCCUGAAACUGUGAAGACUGAAUUCCCAAACAGCUGUGUGACUGCACAGAUGUUACGGCCAUAAAAGAAACUUCACAACUGAGAGCCCAUACCUCCAACAACCUUCAACAGGAAUCAAUGGACAUCUACGCAAGGUUUUUCUUUUGUUGAGGACCGUCAGAAACUCCAGCCACACGAGCCAUGGAUUGCUCUCAACAUCACCAUCAGACAGACAUUAUCACAGAACCAGCACCAGCAGACUGCAAAACAAGUUCCUUCAACAGGCAAUCAGACUGAACUGAACUCGUACCAGUAACACCACACACACACACACACACACACACACACACAUACACACACCAGCAGCCUCAUACUGUGUGCACUGCACUCUAUCAGCUACACUGACUGGACUCUGACUCACUAUUAUUCUGCAACCUGAUAUUCUGUUUGCACUAAUUCAUACUGUACUGAAAGUGAAAGUGACGUGACAUACAGUCAAGUAUGGUGACCCAUACUCAGAAUUUGUGCUCUGCAUUUAACCCAUCCGAAGUGCACACACACAGAGCAGUGAACACACACACACUGUGAACACACACCCGGAGCAGUGGGCAGAGGUAUAUCUACAGUAUACAGUGAUUGUUGUUAAUUGUUUUCAUUUUGUUCUCUCUGUAUAGUAUAGUAUUGCACUAUAUUUUCUACCUGUAUUGAGCUCUUAUGUAUACGGUUUAUAUUUUUGAUACUGUAUAUGUGUUGCAAAUAUAUUCAGUACUUGUCAUGCUGCAGUUUGCAGAAAAGCAUUUUACCACCUGUAUACUUGCAUUCAUGGUAUUGUGAUAAUAAAAUGAUUUGAUUUGAA
This is a long non-coding RNA of Carassius gibelio (silver crucian carp), 2201 nucleotides long. RefSeq lists it as uncharacterized. Lineage: Eukaryota; Metazoa; Chordata; Actinopteri; Cypriniformes; Cyprinidae. The transcript has 8 exons. The record is from RefSeq and is a predicted model, not a curated record.